Schistosoma haematobium is the source of this 45-nucleotide non-coding RNA. The record is from Rfam. Lineage: Eukaryota; Metazoa; Platyhelminthes; Trematoda; Strigeidida; Schistosomatidae.
AUUCAACUGACGAGUCCUAAACAGGACUAAAAACGCGUCCUGGAU